Molecule: ribosomal RNA, 465 nt
Filed under: uncultured bacterium
Lineage: Bacteria
Description: bacterial SSU rRNA
Rfam family: Bacterial small subunit ribosomal RNA
Source: RNAcentral
CCUACGGGACGCACCAGUAGGGAAUCUUCGGCAAUGGACGAAAGUCUGACCGAGCAACGCCGCGUGAGUGAAGAAGGUUUUCGGAUCGUAAAACUCUGUUGGUAGAGAAGAACGUUGGUGAGAGUGGAAAGCUCAUCAAGUGACGGUAACUACCCAGAAAGGGACGACUAACUACGUGCCAGCAGCCGCGGUGAUACGUAGGUCCCGAGCGUUGUCCGGAUUUAUUGGGCGUAAAGCGAGCGCAGGUGGUUUAUUAAGUCUGGUGUAAAAGGCAGUGGCUCAACCAUUGUAUGCAUUGGAAACUGGUAGACUUGAGUGCAGGAGAGGAGAGUGGAAUUCCAUGUGUAGCGGUGAAAUGCGUAGAUAUAUGGAGGAACACCGGUGGCGAAAGCGGCUCUCUGGCCUGUAACUGACACUGAGGCUCGAAAGCGUGGGGAGCAAACAGGCUUAGAUACCCGGGUAGUC